This 73-nucleotide transfer RNA is filed under the name Xylaria sp. CBS 124048. RNAcentral's name for it is "tRNA-Arg". It matches the Rfam family "tRNA". From Rfam's summary of the family: Transfer RNA (tRNA) molecules are approximately 80 nucleotides in length. Their secondary structure includes four short double-helical elements and three loops (D, anti-codon, and T loops). Further hydrogen bonds mediate the characteristic L-shaped molecular structure. tRNAs have two regions of fundamental functional importance: the anti-codon, which is responsible for specific mRNA codon recognition, and the 3' end, to which the tRNAs corresponding amino acid is attached (by aminoacyl-tRNA synthetases). tRNAs cope with the degeneracy of the genetic code in two manners: having more than one tRNA (with a specific anti-codon) for a particular amino acid; and 'wobble' base-pairing, i.e. permitting non-standard base-pairing at the 3rd anti-codon position. Lineage: Eukaryota; Fungi; Ascomycota; Sordariomycetes; Xylariales; Xylariaceae. The record is from RNAcentral.
GCCCGGCUGGCUCAAUGGUUAGGGCAUCUGACUUCUAAUCAGAAGGUUGCGAGUUCGAGUCUCGCGUCGGGUU